CACGUAGGGCGCAAGCGUUGUCCGGAAUUAUUGGGCGUAAAGAGCUCGUAGGCGGUCUGUUGCGUCUGCUGUGAAAACUCGGGGCUUAACCCCGAGCCUGCAGUGGAUACGGGCAGACUAGAGGUAGGUAGGGGAGAAUGGAAUUCCCGGUGUAGCGGUGAAAUGCGCAGAUAUCAGGAGGAACACCAGCGGCGAAGGCGGCGCUCUGGGCCGGUACUGACGCUGAGGAGCGAAAGCGUGGGUAGCAAACAGG
RNAcentral lists this ribosomal RNA (253 nucleotides) under uncultured bacterium. Its description in RNAcentral is "partial 16S ribosomal RNA". It matches the Rfam family "Bacterial small subunit ribosomal RNA", at positions 524 to 776 of the family's 1533-position model. The record is from RNAcentral.